GGAUAGUGGAAUCUAUCCAGGGACUGCAGAGAUAACUAGCUUCUCCACCAACUUCAGCAAUAACCAGAACAAUGUGGGGGAGGAUGAGUAUUCUAAUCCCUUAAUAGCAGAUGUCAUGCCACUUGGCUUUCUUGCCCUUUGUGUUUCAGCAAAAGCCAACGGUCAUACCCAAUGGCCGCCUGCCUGGCAGAUUUCAUAGCAGGAAGAGAGCUAAGGUGCAGGGAAGAGAAGAUAUGAAUGGAUACCUCUCCCCCAUGCCUUGAAUGCUUCAACUUGGAGGGAUGCUUUUUGAAAUCACUCAGCUUGGGUGAAACUGGAUACCUGAGGAAGGUGGCAAAGAGGAUCAGGAAAGAAGAGAAGGAAGGUGGAACACUGAAGCAUAGACUACCUUCAACAGGAUUGGUUGAUGGUGAAAACCAUUACGAAGCAUGUAUACCUGAAUCCCUGAAUCGCUGUGUUGUACAGCAGAAAUUAUCACAACAUUGUACAUCAACUGCACUUCAAUAAAACUUUAAAAAAUGAGCAAAAAAGCACUCUUUGAGCAGCUG
Molecule: long non-coding RNA, 548 nt
Filed under: Sus scrofa (pig)
Lineage: Eukaryota; Metazoa; Chordata; Mammalia; Artiodactyla; Suidae
Description: lncRNA (ENSSSCG00050017497.1)
Source: RNAcentral